RNAcentral lists this ribosomal RNA (169 nucleotides) under uncultured Brevundimonas sp. RNAcentral's name for it is "partial 16S ribosomal RNA". It matches the Rfam family "Bacterial small subunit ribosomal RNA", at positions 338 to 524 of the family's 1533-position model. Lineage: Bacteria; Pseudomonadati; Pseudomonadota; Alphaproteobacteria; Caulobacterales; Caulobacteraceae. The record is from RNAcentral.
CCUACGGGAGGCAGCAGUGGGGAAUCUUGCGCAAUGGGCGAAAGCCUGACCCAGCCAUGCCGCGUGAAUGAUGAAGGUCUUAGGAUUGUAAAAUUCUUUCACCGGGGACGAUAAUGACGGUACCCGGAGAAGAAGCCCCGGCUAACUUCGUGCCAGCAGCCGCGGUAAU